AUGUUACAACCAUUGCAAAUCCCAAUCUACUUCUUCACUCUAUAUUACCCAUAUCUCUCCUCUCUGCUUUCUCACUCUUCAUCUAUAUCCUCUCUUUUCUCUCUACUGAAAACUCCAUAUAGCCAUAUCUAUUUCUUUUUUCAUUAAUUCUCACAAGGGAAAAGAAUAAUGCAGAUUCAACCACGCCCUGAGCAGCAGCUCUCUCGUCAGGUGGCCAAGACCACCACUGCUGUCACCGUGGGUGGCUCACUCAUGGUGCUCUCCGGCUUAACGCUGGCGGCCACCGUUAUCGGCCUAGCUAUCGCUACCCCUUUGCUGGUGAUAUUCAGUCCUAUUCUUGUACCAGCUGUGAUAACUGUUGGGUUGAUCCUUGCAGGUUUCUUGGCUACUGGUGGUUUUGGAGCCACUGCUUCUUUCGUUUUCUACUGGAUGUACAGAUACGUCACAGGGAAGCAUCCGAUCGGCGCUUCCAAGAUUGAUUAUGCGAGGGAUAAAAUUGCGCAUGCAGCACAUGAUGUGAAGGAGAAGGCGGAGCAAUUGGGACAUCAAGCAGGGCAACAGAUUAAGGGUUGAGAGAUUUUCUUAUGCAUGCAUGUGCACCUUUUAAUUGUUUGUUAAUCGGUUUUGUGUGAGAAUGUGAGUCUCGUGUUUGUUGGAUAGGGAAAUGUUGUUGGAUUUUGUGGUAGCCGUUACUGGUUCUGUAUCAAGAUUUACUUUCACUUAACGAGUCUUCUUUUGGUUUUACCCAAAUCUUGUUGAGUCUGAUUUUGGUUAAUCCCUAAUUUUUUUUUUAGUUCCGUGGUACAUUCGCUAUUUCCCCCUCAGAACACAAACGCAAAGUUGCAACGAAACCUUGACAGGAGGAGGUUAAUGCUUUUAGACAAAACAAAUAAAACUGCAAGGUCUGACCCGAUUUACUUUGUUAUCUGAACGGAAAAGUCAACAUGCACCGAUUGAUAAUUUUGAGUAAUAAACACAAAUUAUCUUUUAAGAUUUUGCGUGAUAGUAAUGGACCAUUUCCUCGUCAAUUUGCGUUUUACCUUUGAACUUCUAGGUAAGAACCAAAUAUGUAAUCUACGACCAACCUAAGCAAAAGCCUGGCAGUGACAGCAGAAAAAUUAUUGGCCAGCCGUGAAAUUACUGCAAACAUGCAACGGAGUUAUACGCCAAUAGUGGAAAUACUCAGUUUCUCGGAAGUAAUCUGAUUGCACAUAUAUGCAUCACCAACAAGAAAGAAACAUGGUACGAGAAAGCAGGAAAAGGUGUUGUCAACGGUGAGAAAUAAAUACGUAUUGUGCUCUUAUACACUAACACUCCCAAAGGUAAAAUCUCAGCCAUAAAGCUCUCUGUUCGGUUCAAACUCUUUUUGAAAUGGCAAUAACGUUAAAGUUGAUUGAGUCUGGAUUUUUCUCGAUCAUCUUUUGGAUAACUUUAGCUGAAUCCUGUAAUAAAAGAGAAGGCAAUACGUCAACAUGAUAUUUCUAAAAACUCUGUCAAUGUAACUAAUGCAACCAUAGUAGCUACAUGAUGGGCAGAUGAAAGGGACCAGACAUGUUUGUUUUUUUUUUUCAAGAAAGGGCACCUAUUUGUUCCGGUGCGAAAUCAUAAACAAGCUUUAUCGAGGAUUGCUAUGCCGCCUCCAUCUUUAGUAACAGAAUAAACUAAAAGCAGCUAAUGCAUCUUUCAAAUGACGGAGUGCAGUGCGUCUGUAAUGGAGUUGAUUUUCAGUGGCUACGUAGUUUCCCUCUUGAACUGUCCCACAUCCUUGAAUAGUUUCUUUUUUUUUCUUCCUUACAGAAUGUAAAACUCGUGACAUAAUCCUAUAAAUCUAAUAAGCUGCACCAACACUAUCUAAGAGGAUGAACCUAGCUCAAUUAGGAACUAAGCUAGCGUUUGGCCAUAGAUUACCAAAUUUGUUUUGAAAAAUCUAUUUUGGGUGAAGUUUGGCUUGAAGAUGUUGGACAUACGUUUUCAAAACAUAUUUUCCAAAUUUAUUUUAGAAAAAUAUGUGUGUUAUUAGGGAUUUGGCCCAAAACCAGCUAUUGAUUUGAGAUUUGGGAUUUGGAAUUUUGUCAAAAUAUAAGCAAAAUCUAUGGCCAAACAUGUAUUUGCCAAAUAAAACUCAAGUAUAUUUUGGCAAAAUCUAUGGCCAAACGGGUCUUAGAAAAUGCUAGGAAAUCCCCCGAGGCCAAUUACCUGCACCCAGUUGUUUCAAGGUGCCAUUCUAC
This 2228-nucleotide long non-coding RNA is filed under the name Nicotiana tabacum (common tobacco). RNAcentral's name for it is "long non-coding RNA (NTAB_LNC019045)". Lineage: Eukaryota; Viridiplantae; Streptophyta; Magnoliopsida; Solanales; Solanaceae. The record is from RNAcentral.